AGUGAUUAACAAAGGAACAAAGA
This 23-nucleotide non-coding RNA is filed under the name Cricetulus griseus (Chinese hamster). Lineage: Eukaryota; Metazoa; Chordata; Mammalia; Rodentia; Cricetidae. The record is from RNAcentral.